RNAcentral lists this small nucleolar RNA (141 nucleotides) under Echinops telfairi (small Madagascar hedgehog). RNAcentral describes it as "Small nucleolar RNA SNORA64/SNORA10 family (ENSETEG00000026147.1)". It matches the Rfam family "Small nucleolar RNA SNORA64/SNORA10 family". From Rfam's summary of the family: This family belongs to the H/ACA class of small nucleolar RNAs (snoRNAs) which act as guides in the the modification of uridines to pseudouridines. This family includes the human snoRNAs U64 and ACA10 and mouse MBI-29. Lineage: Eukaryota; Metazoa; Chordata; Mammalia; Afrosoricida; Tenrecidae. The record is from RNAcentral.
AUGGCUUUUUCUGGUUGCGUGAAAGAAGGUGGUUAUUGCCAUAACAUGCGUGACUUUUGUAAAGAGGAGAGAGAGAAAGGGUGCCCUCAGGUCCUGGGGCAGGCCUCCUGUGACUUGUCCCUUCCAGGGGGCACAACAGGC